RNAcentral lists this long non-coding RNA (476 nucleotides) under Monodelphis domestica (gray short-tailed opossum). Its description in RNAcentral is "lncRNA (ENSMODG00000042697.1)". The record is from RNAcentral. Lineage: Eukaryota; Metazoa; Chordata; Mammalia; Didelphimorphia; Didelphidae.
AGUCAACAUUGUUGCUAAGUGCAGGAUCAGAGGAUAGAAUCAACAUGAUAUAGGUUAGGGAGCACAGAUUUGCCAGAAGUUUUUAUGCCUAGAAAAGAGGGUCUUAUCUAAGUGGGUAUAUAAGAAUCCUUAGGUUUAAUAUUGUAAGUGAGCUCUCCUGGUAAUAUCCUAGGGGGACAGAGUGGGACAUCUGUAUUAACCCUACAAGCAUGUUGCUCUCAUCUAUUUUUCCUGGGGCUAAGAUGUCCUUUACUUCUGUGUGGGGAAAGAGAAAGAUGUUUUCUCAAAUGGAGAAUGACCUAGAGACUGAACUUCAAAGCUCUUCUGGGGAAUUUGUUUUUCACUAGCUUCCUUUUCUGACCCAAUGGACUUCUGGGUAACAACUCUAACUUCAGUCAGAUACUUUUCUCCACACAUACUGGUACCCAGUACCAAUUUUUUCUAUUCACCUAUUUUAUAGUUUAGCACUAUUAAAG